Molecule: long non-coding RNA, 489 nt
Filed under: Ixodes scapularis (black-legged tick)
Lineage: Eukaryota; Metazoa; Arthropoda; Arachnida; Ixodida; Ixodidae
Description: uncharacterized LOC120839716
Source: RNAcentral
AUAGCCCCUCGGGCGUACGGUUCACGGAGCUGCAAGGCUGCGCCCUUCCAGACACCGAAUUUGAGCUGUCGAGGUUGUUUGGCUGUAGCCCGUGGCAAAGGAAACAUACUUCGGAGCUGCGGUGCAUCCCCACACCCAUUGAAGGUGUAUAACGUUCAGCGGACGGCCAGAUGGAGUGCACCGAAUGUUUUUGCGCUCCGUGUAUACUGACCCAAGGCCACGUGAGGGUGGGGAUGGGCCAGGCACCGUCGUCCAAGAAUCCUGGGGUUCGCAAGAAGUAUUACAGAAUGUACUGGGCCUGCCUGGCAAAUCUGGCCGCUUGGCGUGACCCCAGGUACUUGGAGAAGAAGAGACAAGCCGGCCAAGGAGUAUAUACUAAGCGUGAAUUGAUGCCAGUGUGCGUAGUUGCACACGUCCGGUGCCUGUAUCCAAACCCACCUGGUGUUCCCUACAUGGGGCACAUGUGGGAGUAAACUAUUUGUGUAUAAA